Molecule: long non-coding RNA, 724 nt
Organism: Tripterygium wilfordii
Lineage: Eukaryota; Viridiplantae; Streptophyta; Magnoliopsida; Celastrales; Celastraceae
Exons: 3
Source: RefSeq, a predicted model, not a curated record
UAGCCACCGACAUAUGAGUUGUCUACUCAAAAUAGUCACGGAUACUGGACCUCUGCUUUGCUGGCUUCAAGCUCUCAAUUGUUCGUCUUUUAUGUCUAUUGUAUGCUAAGACAAUAUAUAGAGAGAGAGACUCUCCUAGUUGGCCACUUUCACUUCUCCAUGGUAUGUUCCUUCUACAAUCUCAUCAUCAGCACUCCACUACCCAAAAGGAACCCGGCCUCCACAACCCAAUUUGAGUUUCCUUUUUCUCUCUCGAUGGUUUUGAUUCCCACUUGAAGUUCCUGUUCUUGAUCUACAAAAGAAAGCUGCUUUGCGGAAGUGGUCAAAUUGAAGUUGAGGGACAUAGAUGCCCCCUGUAUCACCUGUAUCCAACUCGCAGGUCCCGCCAAUGGACAUGUAGGGGACUGGUUCUGGCUCCAAAGAGUUCAUACGACCACUUGGCCGGGAUCCUACUCAGCCCGAGAUUUUUCGUCGUACCCAUAAGAAAAAGGGUACUAGAGAAUUUGUUGAUGCACGGUCGGCUAAAAUAUAUGCUGACUAUGAGAAGAUGAAAGAAGCCAAGCAAAUCUUUGCUCGGUUUGGAAUGCAACCGCUAUGUAAUGACGUUGACGAUGAGGAGCACGAUUCUGACGGGGUUUAGAUUAUAGAUUGCAGUUUAAUUGUUGUAAUAUAUUUUGACAAUUUGACUUCAACACAAUUUUUAUAUAAAUAUUUUUAUUACAAA